RNAcentral lists this ribosomal RNA (2255 nucleotides) under Clostridioides difficile. RNAcentral's name for it is "partial 23S ribosomal RNA". It matches the Rfam family "Bacterial large subunit ribosomal RNA", at positions 419 to 2693 of the family's 2925-position model. Lineage: Bacteria; Bacillati; Bacillota; Clostridia; Peptostreptococcales; Peptostreptococcaceae. The record is from RNAcentral.
GGGACACGUGAAACCCUGUGGGAAGCAGGAGGGACCACCCUCCAAGGCUAAAUACUACCUAGUGACCGAUAGCGUAUAGUACCGUGAGGGAAAGGUGAAAAGAACCCCGGGAGGGGAGUGAAAUAGAACCUGAAACCCUGCACUUACAAGCUGUGGAAGCACAUUUCUUGUGUGACCGCGUACUUUUUGUAGAACGGGCCAACGAGUUACGUUAAGUAGCAAGGUUAAGCACUUAAGGUGCGGAGCCGUAGCGAAAGCGAGUUUUAACUGAGCGUUCAGUUACUUGACGUAGACCCGAAACCGGGCGACCUACCCAUGAGCAGGAUGAAGCGAAAGUAAAAUUUCGUGGAGGUCCGAACCCACGAGCGUUGAAAAGCUCGGGGAUGACUUGUGGGUAGCGGUGAAAUUCCAAUCGAGCCCGGAGAUAGCUGGUUCUCCCCGAAAUAGCUUUAGGGCUAGCCUCAAGGUGAGAGAUACGGAGGUAGAGCACUGAAUGUCCUAGGGGGUAUUGCACCUACCGAAGACUAUCAAACUCCGAAUGCCGUCAUCUUAUACUUGGGAGUCAGACUGUGGGUGAUAAGAUUCAUAGUCGAAAGGGCAACAGCCCAGAUCGUCAGCUAAGGUCCCUAAAUGUAAGUUAAGUGGUAAAGGAUGUGGGAUUGCACAGACAACCAGGAUGUUGGCUUAGAAGCAGCCACUCAUUCAAAGAGUGCGUAAUAGCUCACUGGUCGAGUGAUCCUGCGCCGAAGAUUUCCGGGGCUAAAACUUACUACCGAAGCUACGGCAUCAGUAAUGAUGGGUAGGGGAGCUUCCCAUACGGGUUGAAGCAUGACCGUAAGGACAUGUGGACAGUAUGGGAGUGAGAAUGUUGGCAUGAGUAGCGAGAUGUGGGUGAGAAUCCCACAGGCCGUAAACCCAAGGUUUCCAGGGGAAGGUUCGUCCGCCCUGGGUUAGUCGGGACCUAAGCUGAGGCCGAAAGGCGUAGGUGAUGGACAACAGGUUGAUAUUCCUGUACUACCGAUAACCGUUUGAGAGAAGGGAUGACACAGUAGGAUAAGCUAAGCACACUGUUGGUUAUGUGUGCCCAAGCAUUGAGGCAGUCAAAGUAGGCAAAUCCGCUUUGAUAAUGCUGGGAUGUGAUGGGGAGCGAAAUUUAGUAGCGAAGUAGCUGAUUUCACACUGUCAAGAAAAGUCUCUAUCGAGGUUAAAGGUACCCGUACCGCAAACCGACACAGGUGGGUGAGGAGAGUAUCCUAAGGCCAGCGAGAGAACUGUUGUUAAGGAACUCGGCAAAAUGACCCCGUAACUUAGGGAUAAGGGGUGCCACCAUCAGGUGGCCGCAGAGAAUAGGCCCAAGCGACUGUUUACCAAAAACAUAGGUUUCUGCUAAGUCGCAAGACGAUGUAUAGGAGCUGACGCCUGCCCGGUGCUGGAAGGUUAAGGGGAUCUGUUAGAGCAAUCGAAGCAGUGAACUUAAGCCCCAGUAAACGGCGGCCGUAACUAUAACGGUCCUAAGGUAGCGAAAUUCCUUGUCGGGUAAGUUCCGACCCGCACGAAAGGCGUAACGAUUUGGGCACUGUCUCAACAACAGACUCGGUGAAAUUGUAAUUCCGGUGAAGAUGCCGGAUACCUGCGACAGGACGGAAAGACCCCAUGGAGCUUUACUGUAGCUUGACAUUGGGUCUUGGUACUACAUGUACAGGAUAGGUGGGAGGCUUUGAAACCAGGACGCCAGUUUUGGCGGAGCCAUCCUUGGGAUACCACCCUUGUAGUACUGGGACUCUAACCAUAGGCCAUGAAUCUGGUCUUGGGACACUGUCAGGUGGGCAGUUUGACUGGGGCGGUCGCCUCCCAAAAGGUAACGGAGGCGCUCAAAGGUUCUCUCAGUACGGUCGGAAAUCGUACGUAGAGUGUAAAGGCAAAAGAGAGCUUGAUUGCAAGACAUACAGGUCGAGCAAGGAUGAAAAUCGGACUUAGUGAUCCGGUGGUUCUGCGUGGAAGGGCCAUCGCUCAACGGAUAAAAGCUACCCUGGGGAUAACAGGCUUAUCUCCCCCAAGAGUCCACAUCGACGGGGAGGUUUGGCACCUCGAUGUCGGCUCAUCACAUCCUGGGGCUGUAGUAGGUCCCAAGGGUUGGGCUGUUCGCCCAUUAAAGUGGUACGCGAGCUGGGUUCAGAACGUCGUGAGACAGUUCGGUCCCUAUCCGUCGCAGGCGUAGGAAAUUUGAGAAGACCUGUCCUUAGUACGAGAGGACC